ACACAUCACCUGGCAGGGAAGACACAAUGACCAGGAAGGUUUUCCCGGGGUCAGGCUCAUCCAGUGCACUCUGGUUGUGCUGAUCCUGCAGUCUCUCCAAAUGCAGCAAACUCAACUGCGGAAUUUGUGGUAGUGGGGGGCCAUGUUCCUGCUCUUCCC
Peromyscus eremicus (cactus mouse) is the source of this 159-nucleotide small nuclear RNA. RefSeq annotates it as U1 spliceosomal RNA. NCBI's taxonomy places the organism in Eukaryota, Metazoa, Chordata, Mammalia, Rodentia, Cricetidae. The transcript has a single exon. The record is from RefSeq and is a predicted model, not a curated record.